This 71-nucleotide transfer RNA is filed under the name Thyonella gemmata. Its description in RNAcentral is "tRNA-Asp". The record is from RNAcentral. Lineage: Eukaryota; Metazoa; Echinodermata; Holothuroidea; Dendrochirotida; Cucumariidae.
CAAGAAUUACAGGAGUUUAACCUGUGACUUUGGUCUGACAGUCCAAUGAUUUACUAAACUAAAUUCUUUGA